Molecule: transfer RNA, 82 nt
Filed under: Rhodocyclaceae bacterium
Lineage: Bacteria; Pseudomonadati; Pseudomonadota; Betaproteobacteria; Rhodocyclales; Rhodocyclaceae
Description: tRNA-Leu
Rfam family: tRNA
About the family: Transfer RNA (tRNA) molecules are approximately 80 nucleotides in length. Their secondary structure includes four short double-helical elements and three loops (D, anti-codon, and T loops).
Source: RNAcentral
GCCCGGGUGGCGAAAUUGGUAGACGCACCAGAUUUAGGUUCUGGCGCCGAAAGGUGUGGAGGUUCGAGUCCUCUCCCGGGCA